This 417-nucleotide ribosomal RNA is filed under the name uncultured bacterium. RNAcentral describes it as "bacterial SSU rRNA". It matches the Rfam family "Bacterial small subunit ribosomal RNA", at positions 359 to 776 of the family's 1533-position model. The record is from RNAcentral.
GAAUCUUGCGCAAUGGUCGAAAGACUGACGCAGCGACGCCGCGUGCGGGAGGAAGCCCUUCGGGGUGUAAACCGCUGUUACUCGGGACGAACUUCCCGAUUCAUCGGGAUUGACGGUACCGGGGGAGGAAGCACCGGCUAACUCUGUGCCAGCAGCCGCGGUAAUACAGAGGGUGCGAGCGUUGUCCGGAAUCACUGGGCGUAAAGGGCGCGUAGGCGGCUUCUCACGCGUGCGGUGAAAGCCCGGGGCUUAACUCCGGGUCUGCCGUGCGAACGGGGAGGCUUGAGUCUGGUAGAGGUCGAUGGAAUUCCGGGUGUAGCGGUGGAAUGCGUAGAGAUCCGGAAGAACACCGGUGGCGAAGGCGGUCGACUGGGCCAGAACUGACGCUGAGGCGCGACAGCGUGGGGAGCAAACAGG